This 252-nucleotide ribosomal RNA is filed under the name uncultured bacterium. Its description in RNAcentral is "partial 16S ribosomal RNA". It matches the Rfam family "Bacterial small subunit ribosomal RNA", at positions 524 to 776 of the family's 1533-position model. The record is from RNAcentral.
UACGUAGGGUGCGAGCGUUAAUCGGAAUUACUGGGCGUAAAGCGUGCGCAGGCGGUUUGCUAAGACCGAUGUGAAAUCCCCGGGCUUAACCUGGGAACUGCAUUGGUGACUGGCAGGCUAGAGUAUGGCGGAGGGGGGUAGAAUUCCACGUGUAGCAGUGAAAUGCGUAGAGAUGUGGAGGAAUACCGAUGGCGAAGGCAGCCCCCUGGGCCAAUACUGACGCUCAUGCACGAAAGCGUGGGAGCAAACAGG